Molecule: ribosomal RNA, 446 nt
Filed under: uncultured bacterium
Lineage: Bacteria
Description: partial 16S ribosomal RNA
Rfam family: Bacterial small subunit ribosomal RNA
Source: RNAcentral
CCUACGGGUGGCAGCAGUCGAGAAUCAUUCACAAUGGGGGAAACCCUGAUGGUGCGACGCCGCGUGGGGGAAUGAAGGUCUUCGGAUUGUAAACCCCUGUCAUGUGGGAGCAAAUUAAAAAGAUAGUACCACAAGAGGAAGAGACGGCUAACUCUGUGCCAGCAGCCGCGGUAAUACAGAGGUCUCAAGCGUUGUUCGGAAUCACUGGGCGUAAAGCGUGCGUAGGCUGUUUCGUAAGUCGUGUGUGAAAGGCGCGGGCUCAACCCGCGGACGGCACAUGAUACUGCGAGACUAGAGUAAGGGAGAGGGAACCGGAAUUCUCGGUGUAGCAGUGAAAUGCGUAGAUAUCGAGAGGAACACUCGUGGCGAAGGCGGGUUCCUGGACAUUAACUGACGCUGAGGCACGAAGGCCAGGGGAGCGAAAGGGAUUAGAUACCCCAGUAGUC